This 1227-nucleotide ribosomal RNA is filed under the name uncultured bacterium. RNAcentral's name for it is "bacterial SSU rRNA". It matches the Rfam family "Bacterial small subunit ribosomal RNA", at positions 271 to 1486 of the family's 1533-position model. The record is from RNAcentral.
GACUUAGGUAGGGUAGGAGGUUCCUAGAGGAGGGGAAGUUCCCACCACACUGUGACCUAGGACCAGACCAAGUUCUCUCCGGGAGGGCAGGCAGUUAGGAAUUUUGAACAAUAUGGCGACAAGCUGAUCAAGCCAUGCGCAGGUACAGGAGAAGGCAUUUAUGGAUGUUAAAUGCUUUUAUAGGAGAGAAAUCCUGGCCCGAAGCCAGAUUGACGGUACGGUAGGAAUAAGGAUCGGCUAACUCCGUGCAGCAGGCGCGGUAAUCCGAGGAUUCCAAGCCAUAUCGGGAUUCAUUGGGGUUUAAAGGGUCGGUAGGCGGUUUUAAUAAGUCAGUGGUGGAAUCCGGUAGCUCAACUAUCGAACGGCCAUUGAUACUGUAGAAACUUGAAUUAAUGUGAAGUAACUAGAAUAUGUAGUGUAGCGGUGAAAAUGCUUAGAUAUUACAUGGAAUACCAAAUUGCGAAGAGCAGGUUUACUAACAAUACAUUGACGCUGAUGGACGAAAGCGUGGGGAGCGAACAGGGAUUAGAUACCCUGGUAGUCCACGCCGUAAAACGAUGGAUACUAGCUGUUCGGUAGCAAUACUGAGUGGCUAAGCGAAAGUGAUAAAGUAUCCCACCUGGGGAGUACGAACGCAAGUUUGAAACUCAAAGGAAUUGACGGGGGCCCGCACAAGCGGUGGAGCAUGUGGUUUAAUUCGAUGAUACGCGAGGAACCUUACCAGGGCUUAAAUGUAGGUUGACAGACUUGGAAACAGGUUUUUCUUCGGACAACUUACAAGGUGCUGCAUGGUUGUCGUCAGCUCGUGCCGUGAGGUGUCAGGUUAAGUCCUAUAACGAGCGCAACCCCUGUCGUUAGUUGCCAGCGAGUCAUGUCGGGAACUCUAACAAGACUGCCGGUGCAAACCGUGAGGAAGGUGGGGAUGACGUCAAAUCAUCACGGCCCUUACGUCCUGGGCUACACACGUGCUACAAUGGCCGGUACAGAGAGCAGCCACUGGGCGACCAGGAGCGAAUCUACAAAACCGGUCACAGUUCGGAUUGGAGUCUGCAACCCGACUCCAUGAAGCUGGAAUCGCUAGUAAUCGCAGAUCAGCAACGCUGCGGUGAAUACGUUCCCGGGCCUUGUACACACCGCCCGUCAAGUCAUGAAGGUCGGUAACACCCGAAGCCGGUGGCCUAACCCUUGUGGAAGGAGCUGACGAAGGUGGGUAUUACCAGGUACAGU